UUUGAUUUGAAAUCCCAAUAAUCCCAUUGCCUUGAACUCAGGCUCGCACGAGCGUUAACUGUCCUGUGAACACACAUUUGGCUUUCCCACCAGUGACGGUGCAAGUCAAUAUUAUGUAGGCUACUUUAAUGCUGUUGUAGCAAUCUUUCUUUGCGGAAGCUUGACGUCAAUCUAUAUAUAAAUAUAUAAAAAAUAACCGACAACCGACACUCGUGACUUUUAUGCAUUCCACGUGUGUCGUUCAACUGGGAUACACACACAACUUUGAUCUCGUCUGGAGAAAAUGAAAACAUACAGCCCUCUCAGGUGUGAAAGGAAUUGUGAAACAGAAGGUCCUCCUGCAUUGCCCCUGCGUAAAUAGAAAUGUGAGAAAGACAAUUAUCUGGCAGCUAGAAGAGCAUACCAUCGUGCUCCGUCAUGAUGGAAGUAAUAACCACACAACCAUAGGGGAGAGAUAUGAAAACAGGGUCAGUCUCUUUCUAAAUGAAGAGAAGGACAACUGUUCGCUGCUCCUCUCAGGCAUCACUGUGGCAGACAACGGGACAUACAAAUGCUCCUUUACAGCCAACGCUUUUGUCUACGAAAAAGUAAUUCUACAUGUGGCUGCGAGCUACAGUGUCUGUAUGGACCUCGUCUCAGACCAGGCUUCGGUGAGUUCCGGAGGGGGAGAGGGGUCGGGGGUGUACCAGUGUAAAGCCUCUGGGGGCUAUCCAGAGGGCCAGAUUCACUGGAAGCUGGAAGGACAUCCUCUGGUGAACCCCUCCAGGAGGGAUGUGACCCACUUGGACAACUUUACAGGACUCUACAGCCUGACCAGCAACCUGACCAUCGAGCUGAGUAAGGAUGAAACACUGCAAUGUGUGGUGGAGAACACAGCCUUGGCCUCCAACCUCACCUCCAACUCCAGCUGCAAUCAAAAGUCUAUGUCCUGGGAAGGUAGCGGUCAUUAUAAAGUAGAGGUUGCAGCAGUUGUGGCUGUCAGCCUUAUUGUGAUUUUUAUUGUGGGAGUCCUGCUGGUGUUCUUACUAACUAGAUGUCGCCGACAUGAAAGGUCAACGAGAGACACAGAGAGGCAGGAAAGAGGCGUGACCCAUUCGUUUAAUGUGUAUGAAGAUGACUCUGCCUGAAUGUGUAAAGCGUCUCCCCCCUCUGAUGCAACAAUCUCUCUUCAACUGGCAGACAACAAAAUGGAGGGAUGAUGAUAAGAGGAACUGAAACUUAAAAUAAGGCCUGUGUUCAAUGUAGAACUUGGAGCAACAUUGAGCAAUGUGUUGUGCCGUCAUGUCUGAACUAUUCUUUGUUGUGUUACGCAAAGAGGCAAACGGCGCCUGAAAGUGGUUAAUCAUGGUUUUCCCUAGUUCGCUGACACUGAACUGAACCCUGAGUUAUGAAUAUGAUGACGAGAGCAGAGUACAAAAUGUGGCCAUGGAGACAAGGUUUAAGAACUAAAAGAGAAGAGAAGAACAGCAUGAUGGGAGAAAUGACUGUGAUCAAUGAACCGAAAGUGAGCUAGACUCAGUGAAUGAAGCCCCCCCCCCCAAAAAAAGGGAGCCUGUGUAUUGCAAUUGUAGAGUUUACUCACUUCUUAAAGUACAGGUGCUUUCAUAUUUCUAAGAAGAGUAACAUAAUCAAACCAGACUACUGUAGUUAUAUAGCUGAUACAUGACUGAAUAGCCAUCGUUGUCUUUAUGCAUUUUGUAUACUGCAUGUUCCUGGUGUUGGUCUAAUGUAGAUCUGUCUGCUCUAAACAAGAUUUCCCUCUGUAAAUGCCAAACUGGAAUGGGGGAGCCCCUACUGUGCUAUUAAAACCCCUUAUAAUGUCACUGGUCACAUUAUAAGGAAGCUGCAGUAGGAAGUGACUACUUUGCUGAACCAUUUGAAUCAUGCUGAGGAUUCAAACGAUUUGGUUUUAUGUUAGACCAAAUGAUUAGUUUUAAUGUAAAUAGUCAAUGACGUUAUUUUACUUAGAAUUCUGAAUUUAAUUCUCUGAAUGUGUGAAGAAUUGGACAUGUUAAUUGCUUAUUGUUAUGUAGCUUGCUGUGAACUAAGAGACCAUGACAUGUGAUGACUAAUGUCAAGGAUUAUUCAAUUUACAAAUGUCAAGCAAAUUAUCUGUUUACUCCAGUUUAAAGGUCUUCACAGGUCCACCUGAAUAUUCCAGACUUGACUUGGGACCGGGUCUGAAAUGAAAUCUUUUCGUUCUGGUCUGGGUCGUGUCCUGUUUGAUUGUCAUCAGGUGUCAAGUCUAUGUACUGUAAGCACAGAUCAAGGCUUUGCAUAGCCUAUAGAGGGCUUGACGUACGAUGCCUCCUGACGGUCAUGUUUGAAGACCACGGCAUUCAUUAUUCUGUUCUGACAACAACAGCCAAGUGACUACACCAAACUGCAUGAUAACAGUGGCCAGUGCCGACCCGUCAUUCAGGGCAGGUGGAGCUUUUGAGACCCACAUUUUUAGAAAAAAAUUUUUUGGCAGGGCUUGCCUGUUUUGCAUGUUAUUUUGGCAUUAAUACGUGUCACAUAUCAGUUUGCAAACAAUGUAAAAAAACACACACAAAAAAAAACACUCGUUCAAACGUUUGGGGUCACUUAUAAAUAUCCUUGUUUUUAAAGACAUACAGUAUAGACAUGGUUAAUGUUGUAAAUGACUAUUGUAGCUGGAAAAGGCAGAUUUUUAAUGCAAUAUCUACAUAGGUGUACAGAGGCCCAUUAUCAGCAACCAUCACUCCUGUGUUCCAAUAUAGAUCAAACGUAUCGGUGCUCGUCGGCCAUUGGACAUAAACAUUACACAACAAGUUGGAAAUUGCAAAUUCAACAAUGAGUGGUUUGUAAGGAAGUGAGCACAACUAGGUGAUACUUUAUACUGAUACAUAAAUGAUGUAAUAUGCCAGGGAGUUAUGUAUACUGUAGCUAAGAAAGUAAUACUACGUGUGUGGUGUGUAGUAAGCUGUUAGUACCCCAUGUGCCUCACGUUAAUAAUUUGGUCCCUUUUCCCCUCUUUCGCCUACUGUUCUGACUUGGUGGUGCACAUGCACAUGUAGUCUAUAGCCUGUUUUAGAGAAAUGUAAUCAUAGAAUAUUAUAAGAGCUUUCAUUGUCUGCUUAUUUGGCCCCGUUAUUUAUUCUACGGUUCUGACUUGAUGUACAAAGAGAAUACUGUAAAAAUGCCCAUGAUCUGUCGCUGUAUACUGCAUGUUCCUGGUGUUGGUCUAAUGUAGAUCUGUCUGGUCUAAACAAGAUUUCCCUCUGUAAAUGCCAAACUGGUAUGGGGGAGCCCCUACUGUGCUUUUAAAACCCCUUAUAAUGUCACUGGUCACAUUCAAAGGAAGCUGCAGUAGGAAGUGACUACUUUGCUGAACCAUUUGAAACAUGCUGAGGAUUCAAACUAUUAGUUUUGAUUCGUUUUCAUGUAAACGAUUCCUCCUGGUGGUCAUGUUGGAAGACCACGGCAUAAAUUAUUCAGUUCUGACAACAACAGCCAAGUGACUACACCAAACUGCAUGAUAACAGUGGCCAGUGCCGACCCGUCAUUCAGGGCAGGUGGGGCUUUUGAGACCCACAUUUUUAGAAAAAACAUUUUUGGGGGGGCUUGCAUUAAUACAGGUCACAUAUCAUUUUACAAACAAUGUAAAAAAG
This is a long non-coding RNA of Oncorhynchus tshawytscha (Chinook salmon), 3632 nucleotides long. The record is from Ensembl. Lineage: Eukaryota; Metazoa; Chordata; Actinopteri; Salmoniformes; Salmonidae.